Fukomys damarensis (Damara mole-rat) is the source of this 7217-nucleotide long non-coding RNA. RefSeq lists it as uncharacterized. The transcript has 5 exons. The record is from RefSeq and is a predicted model, not a curated record. Lineage: Eukaryota; Metazoa; Chordata; Mammalia; Rodentia; Bathyergidae.
AGAAGACUUCAUGAAAUCUCUCAUGUUCGAAAUUCAAGACAUUGAUGCUUUUAGAAUACAAUGUCAUUUACCCUUGCAGUCAGACUGAAAGAGAUGUUUAUAAGCAUAAAAAUGGGUUCUUGUUAUCACCUAAAGAAGAUCCAGUGAAUGCCUUCAGUGUACCCCUUCCUAAGCUGUAUCUUCCUUCACAUUUGGGAACAUUGGAACCUCUGCUGUUGACUCAAUUUCUAAAUUGUUUCCUCUUCACAGGGUACUGCUUUACAAAACCAGAACUCAUCUUCAUAUUGGAACAAGGAGACGAUCCAUGGUCAUUAGAUAAAGGGAAAGAAUCCCUGAGCAGGAAUUCCCCAGAUUCACAGAUCAUGGGUGACUCGAUGACCCUCAGAAACAGGUAAGAUGCCCAUAGUCCACACUGCAGAAUGGGCAGUGUCUGAGGACUAAUGAACUAUACAGAAGCCCAACUACAGAUUGAGACACCAUUCUGACAGAAGAUGCCAUGUCAGCUCCAUCUCCUUGGCACCAGGGAAGAUAAACUCAGGUGCUAGUCAUUCCUCUUCUGACAUGCAGCCUGCUGCUAAGUUAAAUCCUUUUUCUACCACAACUGUCUUUCAAGUUAUUGGCUCUCUUGGAUUUCAGAAAUAUCAAAUCUGUCAAGUCCCAUUAGCUAUGAGUACCUGUAAAAAGAAAAAGGGAAGUUACAGACUUGCAUGACACAAUGCCAUUGUGUAAAUGUCCCCAUUCUUAAAGGGAGGAACAGCAAAAGAGCAAAGCCAAAUUAGACAAAAGCAAGACAGAAAUGUAACAGGGCCAACAUUUCAAUCUCGUAGCUCCGGGCUGCUCACUAGGGGGUAGGGUGGCACAAUAUGGAUCCCUGUGGGCUCAUGUAGCCAAGCCCCAGCAUUGUUGCCUGCUGCAGCCCGUAGGCCUCGUCCUUGGGUUACCUCUCCCCAAUGCCUCUUCAGGUGUUCAACAUUCCUGUCAUCUCCCCCUUCUUGGGGUUUCUCCUACAGCUGCGAGUAAACAUGCAGAGCUUCAUGCUUCUACCUUUUGCAGCUGUUUGUAGGGACUCUGACAGCAGCGCCACACACUGCCAAACAUCCCAGGCUUUCCUCUGAAAUCUCACUGGAAUCUCACCUCACCUGACAAAGCUUGAAUGUUAAGCGUCUGCAAAACAGCGUCCUGUGGAUGACACCUAGAUCUGACAACAAUGACAGGAGGCUCUGGGUCCUCUUGGAUCUCGACUGCAGCAGCCUGAGUGUCUGACUAAACAAGAGAAACAAAUCCCAAGAGACAGGAGCCCUGGCUGGGAUGACAGCCAACACACUCCAAGCUGCUACAGGGACUACUGUCUCCUUUCUGAGAAGCAAAAGAAGACUAUGCCUGACAGGACAAACAUCAGGAGGACAAGGGCCCAUUCUUGAUAUCCCUGAAAUGUCAAACCCCAAUGAGCCAAAGUUAAUACCGUCGCUCACUUCACCACACCCUCAUCCCUUGAAAGUGGCAGCAGUUUUGAUUUGAUCCUUGCUGAAAUGCUGGAGAGAUCAAUAAGGUGCUGGUUUUCCCAGGAUGACAGCACUGUUGCCCUGACAGUUGAGGCUGUCCUAGAUGACUCCAGAGCAGAGCUGGGGCAAUAUUUGCCUUGGUUGCAACAGGCUUUAAGCACAAACCUAUGCCAGAGGGCUACAACCUACAGCUACACUGGAUAACUGCAUCCUGUAACCUCCCAAUGACCCUGCCCACUUCUGUCACAACUUGGAAGCCCCCAGACAGAUCCAGGAACUUCCGAUAACUAGAGAGAGUAGCCCAUUCCUCCGCAAUAUAAGUAGUGCUUCCUUACACUCAUCAGGAGGCCCGGAGGGCUCCCUCCAGCGCACCCCCUCUACAACGUGCUGCAGCAGAGGCCCCAACAAAAACCUCCCUUGGGUUCUUCUAUCAUCUAUUCACUGUUCUUACCGCAGACAGAGUGGGCUGAGCAGACUGCAUUAAAAAGAGUGAGUGACACCACGGGCAACGGCCAAGAGCAGCAGACACUAGUGGAGCCAGGCAGAGACCCCUGGAGAGUGGUGGAGACCAGCUGAUGGGCAUGAACUGCAGCGACUUCUGAGGACAUGUAGAGAGCCCUGGAGAGGCUGUGGAAGUGGCUGCAGGACCUUCAAAGAGCUGCCCAGGACUGUGGAUCGAUCCUAGGGCCUUGCACAUAAGCAGAAAGUGCUCCAACACUACGCUGUAUCUCCAGCUGUGCUUCUUUUAGUUUAGAAGGAAGUCAUUUUUGAAGAUGUAAUACUUGUGGGAAGGCAGCACUACUGGCCUCUAUUUUCAUUCCCAAUAGAGUGCUUAUUCACAUGUGAGACCUAGGGAGCACAGUGUUUAUUCUCCACACUCCUAUCACGCCUAUAGACCACUCAACUCAUAUUCCUAAGGAGGAGCCAGAUAUCAGGAUUUAUAAGGUUUGGGGGGCUAAAGAAUGAACUACCCUAGUUAGGAGCAGUGGGAUGCCUCAGAAUGACACAAGAGUCCAGAGCCUCUAAUGCCAGACUCAAUUCACAGAAAGUCUAAAUUGUACUUCCUGUUAUGUGAAUGUUCUCACUACACAAUCAUCUUGUCAAACAUACUAAACACACACACACACACACACACACACACACACACUCUCUCACUCACAAAGGUGUGAAAAUGAAACAAAUAAUAAAUAAAUAAAUAAUAAUAAUAAGGAAUCCUCCGGUGAGAGGGAAGAAAUUCUUAACUCUUAGGUCAUGUGGUGUAACUAGCACAGCAUGAUUAAAUUCACCUACAAACUUGAUGCAAAUGGAAAAAAAUGAAAAACAAACAAGGAAAAGCAAAAAACAGAAAGAAAUGACCAUCAUCAGCAAAAAUGCCACCUGCAUCUGAAACAUACAGAGCCUGGUUACCACCCAUACUUCUACAGAAUUUUUAAAAAUCCGAGUCACCCAUAACUUGAGGGUCCACUGUAUCUUCUGAAACACGACCAUAGUCCACAUCUCCAGAAUAGAAUCCCCUACCUUCAUUCUUGAAACAUUCCCACAGACUCAUACAAAUGCCUCAGCUUUCUCCAAACAAAUACACUUUCAAUUCUUCUAACAACCCCUUGUUCCCUACGAAUAAGUCACAUAACUCAUCCUUCCACACAUGGAUAUGAGCAAACCAGGCAUGUGCCCAAGACUCGGAGAACUAUCUCCAGUGUACCAUUUAAAAACACAAAGAAAACCUCUUACUUAUCCCUCAUUACUUCUGGCUGGUAGGAAACGGUUCAUGUACCCUAAAAUACUAAGGAAUGGCUGUGUCACAUACCUCCAGAACCUACAAAUACCACUCCCAUACUCUUCUGUGUUAUGAUAAACUAGUAACAUCCCAAUGUGAAAUACAGACAGCCCCAGAAAUACUCAUCCAAACUUCCAUACCUCUCAAUACAUAUACUCAUUUCCCCCAAAUUCUCUGACUUCACACAACUAUAUGGUCAUUGCUACAAAACACAAGCACACACACAUAUGUGCACAUAUCAGAGAGAUGCACUAUGUACAAAUUCAAUACACAUGGCCCUCUCCCAAGCAUCAAAUAGCUACACAACUGAGUAGCUCACGUCAGAUUUACAAUAUCUCCAAUACACACAUCAUUUCAUGCUACCUGCAUAAACAAGAUCACACACUCCAAAAUAAAAAUAACUCUUCUGUCUUCCAAAAUGCAGAAUCAUACUAGAUUUACACUGCAAUUGCACAAUUCACUUUACUAGUCCAAAAAAUAAUCAUAGACCUGUCAUCACACACUGAAGGACACACACACGGACCUUGAAGGUCAGAAAAAGAAGGAUAUUAUAAUACAGCCUGUCCUGUACGCACAAAUAAUCCUCUUACAUUUCAUUUCCCACUGAUGUAAAACAGAGGCAUGCCGAACCUUCAGAAAAGAACACUUAUUUGAAACACGCACACACACAACAUUACCACUUGCCGUAACAAUGCUCUUGGGGACAGCAAGUCCCUAACUAUGGAUUCAUAUGCACACGUUCCCAAAGACCACAAAGACACCGACACCAAACCACCCAUGCCCUGGAAUUUCCUCAGCCCAUCAUGACUAUCCGCAAUUCUCAUGACUCCCACAAUUAAAAAAAAAAAACAAAACAAACUUCCUCCCAUCCUCAAGUACACAAAGGUCUCCCCACCAGACCACCCCCCAUCCUACUGCCCCACACACCUGCUCACACACAGACACACACACAAAAGCCUCUAAUAAAUUUUCUGAAUAUAAUGCACGCAUGGAACAUAAUUUAAUAAUAAACAGCCAAUCUCUUUACUGCAACUGGUUCUCACACAAUGCUGCUGUUGACUUCUGCCAGCCUCCUGCACCCCCAGGAACCUAUGCCUGCAGCUCAGUCACCACGUGACAACUUCACACUGGACAAAAGUGCGUCAUUCAGCUUGGGCAGUCACUACCAAGUGCAGGUGCCACAUGAAUGGUGGCUGAUACUUCCCCUCCCCUAAGUUUCAUACGUGCAAACAAGGAUAUGUCGCAGAGGGCCACUCACUUUUCAGGGACAUGAGUUACUUCUCUGUGCCUCUGGAUGAAGCUUUUCAGAUACAUGAGAAGUGUUCGUCGGGCUUCUGCAUCACGGACACAGAAGGGACACACUGACAAGCUCCAGCCACAAUAAAGCACUUGCCUAAUUAAAUUCCUCAAUUCUAUCACACCAUAAACUAUGCAUAUAUACGCUUACCUUUUGAACACCUUGAUGUAAUUGCUGCUGAAGCACACAAACAAUGCUGUCUAUACCUAUACAUCCCAAAUACCUGAAUGGAUCUUCAAAUACACUAACUACUCAAGUCUCCCAAGACCACGUUUGCAUGAAUUUAUCCCACACUCUCACGUGGAAGCACAAACCACACACCCACAGCUCUGCAAUAGACACCCAGCCACCACACUCCCUCGGUAUAUCACAGAGAUCCCUAGCACAUAUCUCAGGCACCCAAUGCAUGGAUAUACAGAACCACAGAACAGUCACACAUGCCAAUGCAUACACAGCCACAUGUGCCCCAGUACACACACACCAAGCUCCAUCUCUUCCUUUUUGCUGGUGAUGGUGGUCCUUGGAACUGAAUCCAGGGACUCAUACUUAACUACAGUCCAAGUUCCUCCACCUUUUUUCAGUUGUUGUUGAGACAUGGUCUCUCAACAAGAAACGAAAUUGCCCAAGCCGGACCAAACUGGUAUCCUCUGGCCCCAGACUCAUACAGUGCUGGGAUAACUGGUGUGCACCUCCACACUGAGCUCAAAGUCCAUGGUGAAAAACUAAAACAGAAACACUUAACUAAAACAGUUCAAAACCCCAAAAUGAAUUCCCAGGCACCACAACUGCAAACCUGGCUACCUCACUCUUCUCAACAUCCUUUGCACCAGGCUGUGGAUUUAGCUCAGUGUCACCACGCCUGCCUCGCAAACACAAGGUUCCCUGGCACACGCACACACACACACACACAUACACACACACACACACAUCCUUUGCACCACACAAUACCCAAAUUGCCAGCUUUUAACGCCAUGAGCAUACAUAAAACUCCUCUACUGUGAAUGCACAGAUAUAACUAAAAAAAAACAAAAAAGGCAUAACGUUACCUUUUCAAAUGCAUCCACAGAAGAAUCACAGUAUCUCACAGUGCACUACAAAGACACAGUACCAUCUGCCCAAAUACACACACACACACUCACACACACUUACAUAUGUAUACAUACCUACCCAGGAAAAUAACCUUCAGAAUCACACAGUACUCCAGAUUAACCCUCAAUCCACUAUUUUGUAAUUUACUAUAAACUGACCCAUACUUUCCUAAGAGCUCCCUUUCAAAAAACUAUUUUUUGUGUACAUAAAAUAUUGGCAAUCGCAAUGCUUUAGGAACAGCAAACCAGGAGGCAUCACGCGAAAGUAUCCUCAACUUUAUACUUGCUUUGAAUAGUCUGUUACAGUGAAAUUCAUGCAGAGCUGCAAUGCUUCCCCGCAUGAGAUCUGCACCGCUGGCCAGGUGGCUUUCUGAAUGGGGUCUCGAUCCUUCUGGAUUGACCUGAGCAGCACAACUGCUGCACUAAGAAACAAGAAGAAAGGGUGCAGUAACCUUGGAAGAACUCAAAGAAGAUUCCUCACCCAGGAAGACCUUAAGGCAUUUUAUGGGAACAGCUCGAACAUUUAACCAAACUUGGUUCCAGAAAAGUAUACUCCAUGUAGUGAAGCUCAUUUUUAUACAUAUUCUUACAAAACAUGAAAAAAAUCCACCAUAAAUUUGUUUGAGAACAUUUGGUUCUUCUAUGUUAGACUUCAUACCUAUAAUUAAUGAUCACUAAUAAAAUGAAAGAAUCCCAUGCAUCUUAUCAGAUCACAAUGGAACAAAACUAAAAAUCAACAGCAAGAGAAAUUACAGAAGCUAUACAACAAGCACAUGGAGAAUGGACACUACACUUUUGAACAACCAGUGGGUCAAUGCAGCAAUUAGGGGGGAAGGGAAAUGAUUCUCAGAAUUAAGUGAAAAUAUACACACAGCAUACAGUGGAUCCUGGAGUUACAACUCACCUGAUUUAUGAACAACUUAGGUUAUGUUUGGAAAUUUUAGUUUUAACUUAUGACCAAAGUCUUAAGACAGAAAUUCCAGUUGCUUGUGCUUCCAGUUGAUCUCAGAUACACAUUUGACCCUUAAACAUCUCUGGCAGGAGCAUUACAGCAUCCUUUCCUGUGUGGGGUUGAGAAAUCCUGGGCCAGUACUUCUCUAAGGACACUAAGAUCUGCCUGGACACUGCACGGAGACUUGGAUGGCUGUGUAGAGGAGCCUGAGCCUUCAAGAGACCGACUUGAAUUACAACCAGCCAUUGUGCAUGGACUGAGUUUGUAAGUCAAGGGUCCACUGUACCAGAAUUUGUGAGACAGGGUGAAUGUAGUUCUAAGAGGGAAGCUACACCUGAGUGCCUGCAUUAGAAAACCAGUGAUUUCAAGUAAACAAAGUAAGCACGCAUUUCAAAUCCUUAGAAAAACAAUAAACCAAACAUAAAACCGGAAGGUAAUAAAUAAUACAGAUCAGCGUGGAAGUUAAUGAGAUCAUCUAAAAGAACAUUAGAAAGGAUAGUGCAUCAAAGGGUAGGGUGUUUGAAUAUAAAAACAAGAUUGAUGAACCUUGAGCUAAUUAUGCAGAAGAGGGGAGGGCUGGGGAUUAAGCUCAGUGGUGCCA